Molecule: ribosomal RNA, 1340 nt
Filed under: metagenome
Description: SSU rRNA
Rfam family: Eukaryotic small subunit ribosomal RNA
Source: RNAcentral
UCUGGUUGAUCCUGCCAGUAGUCAUAUGCUUGUCUCAAAGAUUAAGCCAUGCAUGUCUAAGAAUAAAUAGUAUACAGUGAAACUGCGAAUGGCUCAUUAAAACAGUUAUAGUUUAUUUGAUAACUGACAAUUACAUGGAUAACCGUGGUAAUUCUAGAGCUAAUACAUGCUUAAACGCCCGACUUUAUGGAAGGGUGGUAUUUAUUAGACUGAAGCCAAUAUUCCUUGUGUCUAUUGCGGUGAUUCAUAAUAACUGAUCGAAUCUCUUUUUGAGAUAAAUCAUUCAAGUUUCUGCCCUAUCAGCUUUCGAUGGUAGUGUAUUGGACUACCAUGGCAGUAACGGGUAACGAAGAAUUAGGGUUCGAUUUCGGAGAGGGAGCAUGAGAAACGGCUACCACAUCUAAGGAAGGCAGCAGGCGCGUAAAUUACCCAAUCCUGACUCAGGGAGGUAGUGACAAGAAAUAGCAAACCGGGAACCUCAUGGUUUCACGGUAUUGCAAUGAGAACAAUUUAAAACCCUUAGCGAGAAUCAAGUGUAGGACAAGUCUGGUGCCAGCACCCGCGGUAAUUCCAGCUCCACUAGCGUAUAUUAAAGUUGUUGCAGUUAAAAAGCUCGUAGUUGAACCUCUGUCUGGGGCUAGUUUUGGCUUUGGUCAGGCUAGUUCUAGGCAUCCGCCUACAAGACUUAGAGGGCAUUCAGUUGUUCACUAGGAGGAGUAGGCAUUUUACUUUGAAAAAAUUAGAGUGUUUAAGGCAGGCAAUCGCCCGCAUAUAUUAGCAUGGAAUAAUAGAAUAGGACACUUUUCCAUUUCGUCGGUUAUUGGAAUCGUGUAAUGAUUAAUAGGGACAGUUGUGGGCAUUUGUAUUUAAUUGUCAGAGGUGAAAUUCUUGGAUUUAUUAAAGACAAACUAACGCGAAAGCAUUUGCCAAGGAUGUUUUCAUUAAUCAAGAACGAAAGUUAGGGGAUCAAAGACGAUCAGAUACCGUCCUAGUCUUAACUAUAAACUAUUCCGACUCAAUGUUUGACUGGCUUAUAUAACCAGUUGAGCGUUGUAUGAGAAAUCAAAGUCUUUAGGUUCUGGGGGGAGUAUGGUUGCAAAGCUGAAACUUAAAGGAAUUGACGGAAGAGCACAACCAGGAGUGGAUUCUGCGGCUUAAUUUGACUCAACACGGGGAAACUUACCAGGUUAAAACAAUAGUGGGAUUGACAGUUUGAGAGCGCUUUCUUGAUUGGUUGGGUGGUGGUGCAUGGCCGUUCUUAGUUGGUGGAGUGAUUUGUCUGCUUAAUUGCGUUAACGAACGAGACCUUAACCUGCUUACUAGACUGGCGAUCAUCAACU